Non-coding RNA from Triticum aestivum (bread wheat), 115 nucleotides. The record is from Rfam. Lineage: Eukaryota; Viridiplantae; Streptophyta; Magnoliopsida; Poales; Poaceae.
UUUGUACUCCCUCCGAUCCAUAUUACUUGUCGCUCAAAUGGGUGUAUCUAGCACUGAAAUACGUCUAGAUACAUCCGUUUGAGCGACAGGUAAUAUGGAUCGGAGGGAGUAUUGG